Molecule: long non-coding RNA, 219 nt
Filed under: Elaeis guineensis (African oil palm)
Lineage: Eukaryota; Viridiplantae; Streptophyta; Magnoliopsida; Arecales; Arecaceae
Description: long non-coding RNA (EGUI_LNC079117)
Source: RNAcentral
CUUUACCAUUAUUAUUGUUGCAUUCCCUUCUCUCCAUUUCUCUUCUUUUCUUUCUUUUUCUUUUCUGAGCGGAAUUUCUCCUCCACUCUUGGCGAGGCUGCGGGGGUCCGAUUCCCGUAAGUGGAGUCAGGGUGAAGUCCGGCUCCCGUGGGAGUCCGGACGGAGUCUACCUGCAAUUGAAGUCAGAAACAAAAUCUUGCUCCCAUAGGAGUCUGGUCG